Long non-coding RNA from Ornithodoros turicata, 1611 nucleotides. RefSeq lists it as uncharacterized. The transcript is spliced from 3 exons. NCBI's taxonomy places the organism in Eukaryota, Metazoa, Arthropoda, Arachnida, Ixodida, Argasidae. The record is from RefSeq and is a predicted model, not a curated record.
GUAUACUCCUAUCUACAGCUCCUUAGUCACGGUUGUAAAGGUUCUAAGGUUCUAAACGCACUUUUUUCGGACACGGGCGUCUUGCCGUAGAGCCAUCCGGGCGGUGGUGUCAGAUUUGGUGAAAGGGCGGUGAAAGGGCUCGCCGCUCUCGGCCUCACGGAGGUGGGCAACGACUGACGCCCUGGGCGAAUGUGCGUCCUGGGCCGACUUCUAAGGGAACUGUGCCAACAUAUGCCUAAAAGCGUCUGAGGAAAACCCAGAAAAACUCCAGACAGUACAGUAUAGCCGGCAUCGGGAUUCGAACCUGGGUACCUCCCAGUCUCAACGUGGCAUGGCCAGCACGCUAACCACUGAACCCUUUUGUGGAAUUGUAGCACUAAAAUCAGACGCCAACGUGGAGCUACACAUAACGUCGUCUGUUCUACGUCGGAGGGAAGCGGAGAGAAACAGUGACGAACUUAGGCGAGAUGGUAAGCUUUGCCCUAACAUGUUGGACUGAAAUCGUAAUUUGUUUUGACGGGUUUUGUUUUCUAUGAUCUGGUGCAAUUCACUUUAUUUCUACAGUCCACGACUGCGACGACAUCCACCCAGCGUAGCCAUUUUGUACACAAAGCCCGCGGGCACGUUUCUUUGUUUCUGCACUUGCUUUCUGCGAUAAAGCCUAAAAUAUGAAGAUAAGAUAUGGCUUCACGAUGAACAACAGUGGCGGACCGACCGACCGCGGGGACGAGCUCGUGAGCGCAUUGAUGGGCUACGUACGCGUCGGAUUCGUCUAUACAAAAGGUGUCACCCCAAACAGCACAAUGUACUGAAAGUGGGGUGCAAUGGGCGUGGCCGGCAUGUGUCUUACCAUUGUUGUUUAGUUGCAUGAGUAUGUUCAAGGCCUUCCACUUACCCGUCCUUCCCUAUCGCACUCGACUUUCAGUACAUUGUGCUGGUUGGGACGGCCAAAUAGUUUCAAUCUAUAUAAAGAAAGAAAGAAAGAAAAAACAGUGCAAGGGAGAACGAUAGAAAGUGCUGUGUUUGACUCGUUUUAUAUUUCUUUCGCUGUCGCCGAGCACUGGUGGUCUUUUAUCGUUUUCAAAAUGAAUCACAAACCCGCCCGAUUUUAAUUUUAUUGAAGUUAAAAUCGCCGUUUAGAGCGGACACAGUCGGCGGUUUAGUCUGCUAGCGUUCAUAACCCCUUUAAGGACUCCGCGUUACUCAGAGGCUGUCGUCUGCAACAUUUAUUUUAGUUACAUUGUCAAAAUGGGCAAGUGUUGUAACGGCGCUUCAGAUCGUUCCACUUGAAACUCGUGAGGCCUUUCUUAUCUCGUAGCUACGCCGUCCUAUGCCGAUGGCGGCAUGAGAGCAGAUAUCAAGGCAUGGGCUAAUCAGUGGCAGCCUUGUGCAAUGUUUCCCCAUAAGCACCGUAUGCGUUCCGUGCGACGGGUUGGAAUGUACCUUGCAGUCUUUCGCCUGGAAUGAAGAGCUGAGUGGAACCAUCUUCCAGGAAACAUAUUCCGUGAAGAUGGCAUCGCAACCGCAGCCAACAACAGAGCUCCCACGAGAGUUGCUUGACCAGAUCCGCAUUGCGAGUGCACUUCAAAUUUUUAACUUGGAACAUAUCCA